This 464-nucleotide unclassified non-coding RNA is filed under the name Hevea brasiliensis (rubber tree). The record is from RNAcentral. Lineage: Eukaryota; Viridiplantae; Streptophyta; Magnoliopsida; Malpighiales; Euphorbiaceae.
AUUACUAUCAAAAUCACCGAAGGUGAGAGUUCUUCCUUUCUAUGUCUAAUGCAGUGGUGAGUAGACUGCUUUGCUUUGCACAAAAUUUUUCUCUAGUUUCUUUAGUAUUAAUUGGGUUCUGCAUUCCUGUGGCAUGCAUAUUGAUCUUUUCACUUACUGCUACUCAGUAGUAGCGGCCUUUCACCAUUAGCCAUUAGGUUCUGCAGGAAGCUGGUAGUGCCAUAAAACUUAUUAAAGUAACUAUUGAGAGGAUCCUUGUUGUUGUCCUUCAGUUAUCAUGAAUAAUUCUACCUUAGUUUACUUUUGCUUUAAUAGUGGAACCUUCUGGAACCUUAAUUGCUUUUUUCACCUGGUGUCAAUGGAUUUCUAUGUUUUAAUAACCUCAAAUUGUUGUUUCAGCAUCCUGUAAUUUUGGCAUGACCAACUCCUGAAUAUUUUGCAGGUACGUCAAAAGUAGAAGUGAU